RNAcentral lists this ribosomal RNA (720 nucleotides) under Peridiniopsis penardii diatom endosymbiont. RNAcentral describes it as "eukaryotic LSU rRNA". The stretch from base 267 to 421 matches the Rfam family "5.8S ribosomal RNA". The record is from RNAcentral. Lineage: Eukaryota; Bacillariophyta.
AAGGAUCAUUAUCACACCAUCCAAACCUUACGUCCCCGUGAAUGGGUGCCAGGUUGAGUCUGCCGACACAAUGGCAGACUUGGCCUGCGUGCCAAACCUAACAUAAACAAAAACAAACAGGUGCUGUGGUGGGUUGGUGUGGGCCUUGCGGCCUGCGCUAGCUAACCCGGUGCCGCCCAACACGAAAUGAAAGCAUAACUGAACCAAAACCGCUGGUAGGGGAGGCACCCUUGGGUGUGCUCGCCAUCAGCUGUCGAAUUCAUUACAACUUUCAGCAAUGGAUGUCUUGGAUCCCACAACGAUGAAGAACGCAGCGAAAUGCGAUACGUAAUGCGAAUUGCAGGACCUCGUGAAUCAUCAAAAUUUUGAACGCACAUUGCGCUUUUGGGUCAUGCCCAAGAGCAUGCUUAUCUGAGUGUUCCUGAACCCCACUCAGCCGCUGGUGCUGCACGAGAGUGCACAUGAGCGGGCUGGACUGUGACAGUGCGGGCUGACGCCAGCUCUGUUGAAAUUCGUAGGUUUGUGGUUGUGCCUAGCACGGUCCCGAAGCAAACACAGCAAAAGACUUGGUGAAUGCACUGACGUGUGUUUCAUGUCUGGAGUUGUGGUGUGGAUGGCUGCUGCAGGGCUGGACUGUCAGACUGGGGCCUGUGUGGUAAGAAGCACACGCCCGCAAUGAAGUGAAACUCAUCUAUGAAUCUCAGAUUAAGUAAGACUACC